Molecule: ribosomal RNA, 223 nt
Filed under: uncultured bacterium
Lineage: Bacteria
Description: partial 16S ribosomal RNA
Rfam family: Bacterial small subunit ribosomal RNA
Source: RNAcentral
UACGGGGGGGGCAAGCGUUGUUCGGAAUUACUGGGCGUAAAGGGCUCGUAGGCGGCCAACUAAGUCGGAUGUGAAAUCCCCAGGCUCAACCUGGGAACUGCAUCCGAUACUGGAUGGCUUGAAUUCGGGAGAGGGAUGCAGAAUUCCAGGUGUAGCGGUGAAAUGCGUAGAUAUCUGGAGGAAUACCGGUGGCGAAGGCGGCAUCCUGGACCGACAUUGACGC